CCUACGGGGCGCUGCAGUGGGGAAUAUUGGGCAAUGGGCGCAAGCCUGACCCAGCAACGCCGCGUGAAGGAAGAAGGCUUUCGGGUUGUAAACUUCUUUUGUCAGGGACGAAGCAAGUGACGGUACCUGACGAAUAAGCCACGGCUAACUAAGUGCCAGCAGCCGCGGUAAUACGUAGGUGGCAAGCGUUAUCCGGAUUUACGGGGUGUAAAGGGCGUGUAGGCGGGACUGCAAGUCAGAUGUGAAAACCACGGGCUCAACCUGUGGCCUGCAUUUGAAACUGGAGUUCUUGAGUACUGGAGAGGCAGACGGAAUGCGUAGUGUAGCGGUGAAAUGCGUAGAUAGUAGGAGGAACACCAGUGGCGAAGGCGGUCUGCUGGACAGCAACUGACGCUGAGGCGCGAAAGCGUGGGGAGCAAACAGGAUUAGAUACCCUAGUAGUC
Molecule: ribosomal RNA, 443 nt
Filed under: uncultured bacterium
Lineage: Bacteria
Description: partial 16S ribosomal RNA
Rfam family: Bacterial small subunit ribosomal RNA
Source: RNAcentral